CCUACGGGUGGCAGCAGUAGGGAAUAUUGCUCAAUGGGGGAAACCCUGAAGCAGCAACGCCGCGUGGAUGAUGAAGGUUUUCGGGUUGUAAACUCCUUUUGUUAGAGAAGAUAAUGACGGUAUCUAACGAAUCAGCACCGGCUAACUCCGUGCCAGCAGCCGCGGGAAUACGGAGGGUGCAAGCGUUACUCGGAAUCACUGGGCGUAAAGAGCGCGUAGGCGGGAUAGCAAGUCAGAUGUGAAAUCCUAUGGCUUAACCAUAGAACUGCAUUUGAAACUGUUAUUCUAGAGUAUGGGAGAGGUAGGUGGAAUUCUUGGUGUAGGGGUAAAAUCCGUAGAGAUCAAGAGGAAUACUCAUUGCGAAGGCGACCUGCUAGAACAUAACUGACGCUGAUGCGCGAAAGCGUGGGGAGCAAACAGGAUUAGAUACCCCAGUAGUC
Molecule: ribosomal RNA, 440 nt
Filed under: uncultured bacterium
Lineage: Bacteria
Description: partial 16S ribosomal RNA
Rfam family: Bacterial small subunit ribosomal RNA
Source: RNAcentral